AAGUUCAACCAAGCAAGUGUGAAAUGUGAAAAGGGUCAAAUACAUUUUACAGUCCGGUAUCAACAUAAGUUAAUUGGUUGCAACUUGCCAAAGUAAAGGGCGAUCAAUGGUUUUUCAGCUAGGAGAAAGAUCAGAGCUCGUCUUAAUGAAAGUUUUCUGGACGCAUAAACAUUCGAUUAUACGGAGUCCCAGUUGACAUUGUUACCCUUUCUCCCGAUAUUCGCAUUCUACAAUCUGUUGUAUUUUUUGCCCAACAUAUUCAUGAUUU
This 268-nucleotide unclassified non-coding RNA is filed under the name Hevea brasiliensis (rubber tree). The record is from RNAcentral. Lineage: Eukaryota; Viridiplantae; Streptophyta; Magnoliopsida; Malpighiales; Euphorbiaceae.